Molecule: ribosomal RNA, 628 nt
Filed under: uncultured bacterium
Lineage: Bacteria
Description: bacterial SSU rRNA
Rfam family: Bacterial small subunit ribosomal RNA
Source: RNAcentral
CAGCGGGGGGUAGCUUGCUACCUCGCCGGCGAGUGGCGGACGGGUGAGUAAUGCCUGGGGAGCUGCCCAAUCGAGGGGGAUACCAGUUGGAAACGACUGCUAAUACCGCAUACGCCCUGAGGGGGAAAGGUGGGGAUCUUCGGACCUACCGCGAUUGGAUGCGCCCAGGUGGGAUUAGCUAGUUGGUGAGGUAACGGCUCACCAAGGCGACGAUCUCUAGCUGGUCUGAGAGGAUGACCAGCCACACUGGAACUGAGACACGGUCCAGACUCCUACGGGAGGCAGCAGUGGGGAAUAUUGCACAAUGGGGGAAACCCUGAUGCAGCCAUGCCGCGUGUGUGAAGAAGGCCUUCGGGUUGUAAAGCACUUUCAGUCAGGAGGAAAGGUGGCUAGCUAAUACCUAGUUGCUGUGACGUUACUGACAGAAGAAGCGCCGGCUAACUCCGUGCCAGCAGCCGCGGUAAUACGGAGGGUGCAAGCGUUAAUCGGAAUUACUGGGCGUAAAGCGCACGCAGGCGGCUUGUUAAGUCAGAUGUGAAAGCCCCGGGCUCAACCUGGGAACUGCAUUUGAAACUGACAAGCUAGAGUCUUGUAGAGGGGGUAGAAUUCCAGGUGUACGGUGAAAUGC